RNAcentral lists this ribosomal RNA (213 nucleotides) under Bacillus licheniformis. Its description in RNAcentral is "partial 23S ribosomal RNA". It matches the Rfam family "Bacterial large subunit ribosomal RNA", at positions 1 to 211 of the family's 2925-position model. Lineage: Bacteria; Bacillati; Bacillota; Bacilli; Caryophanales; Bacillaceae. The record is from RNAcentral.
GGUUAAGUUAGAAAGGGCGCACGGUGGAUGCCUUGGCACUAGGAGCCGAUGAAGGACGGGACGAACACCGAUAUGCUUCGGGGAGCUGUAAGCAAGCUUUGAUCCGGAGAUUUCCGAAUGGGGAAACCCACUGCUCGUAAUGGAGCAGUAUCCAUAUCUGAAUUCAUAGGAUAUGAGAAGGCAGACCCGGGGAACUGAAACAUCUAAGUACCC